Molecule: long non-coding RNA, 865 nt
Filed under: Prunus dulcis (almond)
Lineage: Eukaryota; Viridiplantae; Streptophyta; Magnoliopsida; Rosales; Rosaceae
Description: sRNA ncRNA
Source: RNAcentral
GUCCGCUCAGAGAAGUCCCCAUUUUCAGUCCGUUUCGAACCAGCUGGUUGGGGGGCAGCCAUGGAAGAUCUGCAUUCAUUGUUAGACAUGCGUGGGGGGCCGUCGAUUUUUGUUUGGGAGGUGCGCUGCAAAUCCAGCCGCACUUUUAGUCUUCGUCUCACAGAUUUGUGGUCGGGAGAUUUCCCAUCCUUUCUACAGCCUUCGACUCAGACUUCCAUCUUUCUUGCUUGCGAAUUUUUGCAUCCUUUGUCUUCAGGUAUGCAUCCCGUCAACUUUUUAACAGAUCUUUUGGUCUUCAUUUCAUGAAUUUGAUUGUUGGCUGGGAGAUUUUUCGUCCUUUGUAGAGCGUGGGUGUGAGCCAUGUUCUAUCUUUAGGGUAUUUUUUAUUUAUUUUUUACGAAUUUGGGUUCAUUUAUUUGUUUAUUUUGAUUUCAGGUUCUUGGGUAAUCCCUAAUGCUUUAUUUAUUUAUUUAUUACGAUCUACCAGUUUAACGGAUUAAUGAUUUGCUGAUGGGUUUCUGAGCAUACUGUCGAAUCCUUUGAUUCCUUGACCAAAUUGAUUAUGCUGCUGUGAUGAUCUGUUGUAGUCAAUAUUGUUGUUGUGGGAAAGUAAGCAUGCCAAUUUCAACAAUUUGUAAUGAUCUUGCUGCUGUAAUGGGUUGUUAAUUUGUUGUUGGAUUGAUAGGAUUAGAUGAUUACAAUAUCUGAGCAUGUUGGUGAUUACAAUAUCUUGGACAUGGUUUUCUUUUGUUUGUUGUAAAAUAAAACAUAAGCAGAAAGCCAUGUUCAACAAACAUCAAUUUUCUAGGGUUAGGGUUUUCGUUUCAUUCUCAGAUGAUUUGAUGGGCAACACGAUUUGUUCAGG